AGCGGUGCUCCGCCAGUUCUCCAGCGGGAGCAAGGCUGGGUCUAGAUCCAUGCUGGGCAGCUCGGUCUCGUACAGGACGAGGCCCGAGUACAAGUCUAGUUCCUCGAAGGUUUUCGGCUUGAUCGAUUCGACGGGAUCACCCUUGGAGAGCGCAGCACGUCCUUCCGUCGAGAGCAGUGUCAGCUUGGGUGUCAGCUCCACCCUUCCGUAGGCCAGACGCUUAGCGGGAUUCAAGGUGAUUUCCGGCAGCGGAAGGAAUUCUCCAAUCACAGCCUUGACAAGGUUGUACUUAGUGGUGACGCCACCGGCCUCGUCCAUCACUGCAUCGUAGUCGUAGCUGGUUAUGUCUGCCGCAUAUCCGAUGCCACCGUCCAGAUUAUAGUUGGCACCAGCAGUGAACCCAAAGUUUGUGCCGCCAAAGAACAUAUAGAGGUUAACACUAGCGUUGUAGCUCAGAAUUGUCCUGGAAAUGUGAAAAUGCUCAUAAAUCUGGGUAGAACCGAUAUCAUACCGAAACCGGUUUUGAAGAAACCUUAUACCCCGUAUUUCCAACAUACCUUAGUGCAUUGGCUACCUCCUGGCCAUCACGCCUUUGGUUCUGCUCCUGCCAAUGCGUUAGCCAGCCGGGAUAGAACUCCGAGUUGACCAGUGGGCCAGUCGGCUGCAGGGCACGCAGCAUUGCCCAGAUUUUGUCAAUCUCAUUGACUGCAAUGCGGGUUUGGUGUAUACUUUCUGUUUUUAUAACAACCACUUGGCAUACUCACUGCGAUCGAUGCCGAAGUCAGUGGUGGCGAACACGUUCUCGAUCUUUCCACAGCUCAUCUUCUCGUUGGGUAUGUCCACCGUGAAGAGCAGCGCCUUGCCGGACACAUACUUCUCCGUCUCGUCUCGCAGCCAGUUGAGGUAGUCGUGAUCGCAGGCAUAGUCACCGUACUCGUUCUCCACCUGCACCAUUAUGAUCUUGCCGCCGUUGCCUACGAACAGGUGCUGGAGGCGUGGCAUCAGCUCCGCAUACCACUUGCCCACCUCUGAGAUGUAGUUGGGGUCAUUGGUCCGCAUCUUGAUGGACGGGUAUUUGGUAAACAACCAGUGAGGAAGACCACCCUGAAAAGAGGCAAUAUUAGUCAAAAUUAUGAAUAAUAAUACUAAUUUCGAACGAAAACCAGUUAGAGCCAAAAACGUUUGUAGUAGAGAAAGUAUUUAAGCACAUUCAGCAACAAAAUCAUUUUAUACUUGCAUUAUCUCGCUCAGCACAAAUGUAGGGACCUGGGCGGAGAAUGAUGUAGAAGUCUUCCUCCUGAGCAAUCUCCAGAAACUUGACAACAUCCGCAAUGCCCUCCCAGUUGUAUUCUCCAUCGUGCGGAUUGUGGAGCGACCAUUCAACAUAGCUGGAUAAACUUACGUAUCCAGAGCAUUAAGACCAGAUGCUCGCAUGGUGCGCAACCGACUUCGCCAGGACUCGGGUACAGCGCGGAAAUAGUGAAACGAUCCAGAGACGUACCGGAAGGGCUGGCCAUCCAGCAUGAAGGUGUUGGCCUCAUGGUCGAUCGUAAACCUUGGCUGUUCCUGUAAAAAAUGCGCAUUUAAAUCAGGCACGGAUUUAGCAAUCGCCUUAUAGUUGCACGCAAGGAAAAACCAUUUGGUUGGGCAACUGCAACUCACCUCGAGGAGAUCGGUGUUACCACCCAUCACUGCACUUAACCUGUCACUUGAAUAAUUAUAGAGAUUGCCAAUCUUAGUCAGACUAAAAAAUGUUUAACCCAGUCUGCUAACUUGUAUUUAUAAAACAGUUACUACUUUUAUUGUUGUUUAAUAUUGAACGAUGUGAAUAU
This is a non-coding RNA of Drosophila melanogaster (fruit fly), 1832 nucleotides long. The record is from Ensembl. NCBI's taxonomy places the organism in Eukaryota, Metazoa, Arthropoda, Insecta, Diptera, Drosophilidae.